RNAcentral lists this long non-coding RNA (464 nucleotides) under Bos taurus (domestic cattle). RNAcentral describes it as "long non-coding RNA NONBTAT018276". Lineage: Eukaryota; Metazoa; Chordata; Mammalia; Artiodactyla; Bovidae. The record is from RNAcentral.
GCUGUUUCACUAUUUUAUUUUUCAUUUAAGAGGUGAUAUAUUUGUCAUACAGAAAAGUGUGAAAAAGUGUAACAGAUCCCAUAUCCCAAGACCCAAAUUUAAUAAUGUUAACAUUUAGAAAAAUAUACAAAUAUCUUUUUUAAAGAAAAAUCCAAUAUAUAUAUAGAGAACAACCCAAAUUUCAAUCUUUCCCCUCCAUAUUUUUCUUCAACAGAAAGAUAUUAAAUGUUUUCAUAAAUAAUAUAUAACAUUUUAUGUAUAUUAAGCUCUGAAAAGAGUCAUGAUAAAGAAAUUAAUCAACUGUUCAUAUGUUCUUCUGGAAUUCUUAAAUUUUCAAAGAUCUUGGUAUAUAAGUACUAGAGAAAUGGUAUAUUGAUGCCAUACCAUAAUGUAAAAAAAAAAUGUCCUAUGUAGUCAAAUACCCUUUUACUGAUUUCUGAUAUACAUAUAAAUAUACACAUAUA